This 669-nucleotide long non-coding RNA is filed under the name Homo sapiens (human). Its description in RNAcentral is "non-protein coding lnc-NBPF11-1:6". Lineage: Eukaryota; Metazoa; Chordata; Mammalia; Primates; Hominidae. The record is from RNAcentral.
AGACAAGGUCUUUGUCUGUUGCUCAGGAUGGAGUGUAGUGGUGCCAUAGCACACUGUAAUCUUGAAUUUCUGGACUACUGGCAUACACCACCAUGCUUAGGUUCGGGCCACAACAUCCGUGACUUUACCGGUUUUGGUCUCUUCCUUGUAACUUUCGGCUCCAGGAUGCUGCGCAGCUCCUCUCUGCACUAUCUAUCAGAACGUUGCUCUGCGUGCUUGAAAGUUUCGCCAAACAGAAGUACACAAAAACAAACAGAGGCGAAACACAAAUCCCCUCAGCCCUGGAGGAAAAGGCCUUGAAGCUCUUCCAGUGCAGAGGCCACGCAGAGGACAUGCUCCUACCUGUGCACAUCGGCCACGCCUGGGGUGCCUCCUGGAGUCCAGGCUGCUGGCGAUGGAAUCCAUCAUGUUGCUGAUGUCACUACUCUCAACUCCUGAUGGCAUCAGAACACAGGCAGCAUCAAGAUCAGGCUCAAGAUGCAGGAUUUUAUCAUCCAAAUCAGGCCCACAUAUGGAUGAAACCCUUCAGGUAUUCUGCACAUCUCUCAGGAAACCCAGAUGAAAUUGAGUGCCUGCUGCCCACAUCAGCAACCCAGACAUCCCACUUGAUUCUGCUUCUGGAGCCUAAGAUGGGAAAAUGGCAGGUGUCGCAGGUUGCAGGGGAAGGUC